CCCAGACUCCUACGGGAGGCAGCAGUGGGGAAUAUUGCACAAUGGGGGGAACCCUGAUGCAGCGACGCCGCGUGAGCGAAGAAGUACCUCGGUAUGUAAAGCUCUAUCAGCAGGGAAGAAAAUGACGGUACCUGACUAAGAAGCCCCGGCUAACUACGUGCCAGCAGCCGCGGUAAUACGUAGGGGGCAAGCGUUAUCCGGAUUUACUGGGUGUAAAGGGAGCGUAGACGGCAUGGCAAGUCAGAUGUGAAAGCCCGGCUCAACCCCGGGACUGCAUUUGAAACUGUCAGGCUGGAGUGCAGGAGAGGUAAGUGGAAUUCCUAGUGUAGCGGUGAAAUGCGUAGAUAUUAGGAGGAACACCAGUGGCGAAGGCGGCUUACUGGACUGUAACUGACGUUGAGGCUCGAAAGCGUGGGGAGCAAACAGGAUUAGAUACCCCGGUAC
RNAcentral lists this ribosomal RNA (444 nucleotides) under uncultured bacterium. RNAcentral describes it as "bacterial SSU rRNA". It matches the Rfam family "Bacterial small subunit ribosomal RNA", at positions 330 to 793 of the family's 1533-position model. The record is from RNAcentral.